RNAcentral lists this long non-coding RNA (1252 nucleotides) under Anser brachyrhynchus (Pink-footed goose). RNAcentral describes it as "lncRNA (ENSABRG00000020026.1)". The record is from RNAcentral. Lineage: Eukaryota; Metazoa; Chordata; Aves; Anseriformes; Anatidae.
CCCUCCCUAUUAGCAAGCUCAAUUGGCCGCCUCCGUCACUAACGAUGUGCCCCUGCACGCCCAUGCCAAGCAGCAGCCUGAUGAGAGAAGCGGACCGAGGCGGGCAAGGAGCCCGGCGCAACCUUUGUAGGCACUGCUGCCAUAACAGCGCUUAAGCUCUUAAGCCCGUCUGAUUACCACACGCAGGACGGGUAAAGCUGCAUUUUAUGACUCCUUUGGGAGGGACAGAGUCGUGGCUACGUGAGAAGAGGGUUUGCAGAGCUGCGUGCCAAAGAGAGCAGCCUGCCUGCGUGCUGCGGCUUUGUGCCACGCUUCCCUCUCCGUACCUCCUCAGCAGCCACCCAUCCUCGGUGGUGGCCCACCACCCCUCCAUGGGGCCAGCCCGAGCAGAGGGUACCAGGCACCAAGGGACGGCAGCACCCCCAGAGAGAAGGGGCAGCUCCUCGUUGCCUGGAGCCAGCGCUGCAGCAACGCUCACGCUGCCGGUACCGUCACUCGGUUCAGAGGAGGAGAUGCUCUCGGGGGCUCCACCGGCACCACGGGCCUUGCUCUCCGGCCUGCCUGCUCUCCCUGAGCCCACUUGAGCUCCUUCUGACAACUCCCGCUAGCAUGAGAAGAGAAGCCCUUCCAGCCUCCUUAUUCUGUCAGCUAUAAAGGGCAAAGGAUGAACCAAAUGUCUCUUUGGGGUCAGAAAAGCAAUCCCAGUACUCUUGGGGUUCUCUGUCAACUCAAUGGCUAUCUUCUACACACCUGUAUGUAGGUGAAAUCAUUUCGGGUCUAAGUCAUUUUCAGAGGGAACUAAGUCAGGCCCAUCUUCUGCCGUAAUCACUUAUUUUGCAAGAAUGUCACCUACUUACUUCCUCAAAGCCUUUCUGAUAACAAAAGAAAUGAAAAUGUAGGCAAAAUCUAUUUUCCAUCUCUCUAUAAAUGGAAACGAUGAGAGUCCCAGACACACAAACAGGUGGUGCACGAACGGAGCGCUAUGCAAAUUCUCCAUGAAUGUCACACUCUGUUUUCUAUGCUGCAGGCAAGGCUUGUGGUUGCAUUUGCCUUUUUGCUCUUUCUAUGAGGAAAGGCCGCUCCAGUUUAUUUGGGCUUUCCCUGCCGUGCUGCACAACUCCAUUUUUUGCUUUCUGCAGGCAAAACCACCCCGUUCUCGGUGGUGCAGCCGCCAGCACUUUGCACACCAGCACACCAGAAAGCUGCAAGCAUACAUCCACGCGCAAAAAUAAAUAUAUGACCACAAAAGACA